AUGUCCGUAUUUUUGUUUUUAUCGACACCUCUCCCUCUAAGCAUGUGGACAUGUUUUUUGAUUAUGCUUAAGCAGUGGGAACGGAAGUACUGUAAACCAAAUAAUUGUCCUAUGCCCUACAAGAUGCAUGUCAGGGUCAGUGACACAGUUCAAGUCAUCACAGGCCAUGAGAAUAGUAAAGUUGGGGAAGUUGACCUGAACUUGAAGUCAAAGCACAAUAAAUGCAUAGAGGAUGAACUGGGGGAAAUUGUCAUGAAGAACAUGAUGAGCAGGGUUGGGAACCAUCUCCUUGAGGACGGCACGAAGGUUCACUACCUGAAGAAGAUCGACGUAGUGAUGUGCAAUGUAGAUAUCCAAGUGAAGGUGUUCAAUGAAAGAGAUUCAUAG
This 387-nucleotide ribosomal RNA is filed under the name Triticum aestivum (bread wheat). RNAcentral describes it as "partial small subunit ribosomal RNA". Lineage: Eukaryota; Viridiplantae; Streptophyta; Magnoliopsida; Poales; Poaceae. The record is from RNAcentral.